This is a long non-coding RNA of Camelus dromedarius (Arabian camel), 414 nucleotides long. RefSeq lists it as uncharacterized. The transcript is spliced from 3 exons. Lineage: Eukaryota; Metazoa; Chordata; Mammalia; Artiodactyla; Camelidae. The record is from RefSeq and is a predicted model, not a curated record.
GUUUGUGGAGCACACGGAACUUAUUAUACACUGGCCGACGUGGGACCUGGCGCAGCUCCGGUGUGGCCCGGCAGUACCUACCCUCCUGCGGCGGCCUCGGAGGCCCAGAUGGUGUGUCAGUGUGCCACUUUACAGAAGAGAGAGGAAGAGAAUCUUCCUGGGAUGAGGUACAGUCUCUUGUUGUUAAUGUACUUGUAUGACUAUAUAAGUACCAGGGGAUUCUGAGACAUAAACCGGGGGUUGGUGUGAGUGUGCAUUUUCACGUUUGCAUCUGCUGAUGAGAAUUUUUGACUUAUGCUUUUAACUUACAGUUUAGGAUGUGAUUCUGUGCUUAAUGCCGUAGGACUGGAUAAUGCACUUGUGUUCAUUUUCCAGACUCACUUAGUGAAACCAGUGUCUGUGUGGGCAUUCUUU